UACGUAGGGCGCAAGCGUUAUCCGGAAUUAUUGGGCGUAAAGCGCACGUAGGCGGCAUUGCAAGUCGGAUGUGAAAUCUUAUGGCUUAACCAUAAAAGUGCAUCCGAAACUGCAGUGCUUGAGUACUUAAGAGGAUCGCGGAAUUCCCGGUGUAGAGGUGAAAUUCGUAGAUAUCGGGAGGAACACCAGUGGCGAAGGCGGCGAUCUGGGAAGAUACUGACGCUGAGGCGCGAAAGCCAGGGGAGCGAACGGG
This 253-nucleotide ribosomal RNA is filed under the name uncultured bacterium. Its description in RNAcentral is "partial 16S ribosomal RNA". It matches the Rfam family "Bacterial small subunit ribosomal RNA", at positions 524 to 776 of the family's 1533-position model. The record is from RNAcentral.